GGCACAUUUCUGCAGAGACUUCUGGAUGCAAACAACAGAGGCAGCUUUGUUGCAGGAGAGGGUGCAUGUGUGGCUGCUGGAAGGAGCCCAGUGCUCGGAGAAAGCUCUGGAGGCCUGUAGGUGGAGUCCAGCUGCGUCAACCACUCUGCGGGCAAGGAAUUGCUUCACAAGAGGACAAUGAGUAAAGCCUCUCUUUGAUCCACCUCCACACCUUAUUAACUGCCUGUGAAAGGAGGAGAUUAUUCUGCCUUAGAAAGAAAGAGAGAAAGAAAGAAAGAGAGAAAGAAAGGAAGAGAGAGAGAAAGAGAGAGAGAAAGAGAGAAAGGAAGAGAGAAAGGAAGAGAGAAAGAGAGAAAGAGAGAAAGAAAGAGAGAAAGAGAGAAAGAGAGAAAGAGAGAGAGAAAGAGAGAAAGAGAGAAAGAGAGAAAGAGAGAGAGAGAGAGAGAGAGAGAGAGAGAGAAAGAAAGAAAGAAAGAAAGAAAGAAAGAAAGAAAGAAAGAAAGAAAGAAAGAAAGAAAGAAAGAAAAACAUAGAGGGAAUAAAACAAUCAGCAGAGGCAAAUGAGGUGAGCAGUUAGUCUGGAACCCUUCAGACCAGCUUGACUUUCACUUCUGGUCAUACCAGCCUGAUGUCGAUGCAAGGAUCUCCAGCACCCACAAGGAUGCUCCAGGAUGCUGAAGAAGGUUUUCGCACCACCUCCCUGUCCAAGGAAGAAGGUUCGUCAUCCAUUAUUUAUGAAAUCAUCAUGUUGUCUCUCGGCGGAGGUCUGCUGCUGCUCUUUGUCAUCAGUGUCACAGUGAGAAUUCUCCAGAGCCGCUGCACUCCACGUUACUCUUCCAAAGACCUCAGUGCACCCACAGUGGUCCUGGAGAACACUGCAGUGACCAACAACUGCUCUGAUAAGAUUUCAACGGUGAAUUUGACUGGCCCGGUGUGUCUGAGUUACGUUUCCAGCAGGCCCACUGGAGGUACAGAAGAGACAGUUUCCAUUUCUGAGCUCCCAUUCUUCUCUGCUGUCUCGAUCACACCCCCAAAUUCACCACUGGAGCAGUGAUGGCUCCCCUUGUCAGCUGCUUUCUUCUGGAGACAAACGUGCACAACAGGCUCUGGGGUGCACGUUGGCAAAGCAGUGGGCUGGUGUGUCCUAUAUUUCUUCCACCAUGACUUCAGGUUGCCAACCUGUAUUACACCAGUAUUAGAAAAAAGAGGAAACUGGGGAUUUAUUUUAUUUUAUUUUUUAUUUUUGUGUGUAAGUGGAGAAAAAGUGUAGAUUCACUCGCCUAAUCUUUGCGGGUUGAUGUAUUAAAAAUGUACUACAGAUUUACUUUUCUCCAUAUUCUCUCUUUCUGUUGUAUGAGUCAUGAGCAAAAAAACAUGGGGGAAUUUCAGGUGAUUUUUAUUCGGGUAAUUAGGGUGAUUCCCAAAUCCCUCUGAUUCACGCACAAAUUGCACUCAUUACAGCUUUCUAUCCAUGGUUUCCAACAAGCUAUAUGACUGUGUCUGUGCUAAUACUACUGGACACACUGCAGUCUGCAAGUCACCACGUCUGUGACGUGUUUUUUAAUCUGCCCACCUUUACAGUCUGAAGGAAGAUACUAUCUAUUAAUCUUUAAGCUAAGAGCUGCAGCACUGCUGACCUCUGCCUCUGGGGUGACAUCAGCUUGCUGAGGAAUGAGCUUGUUCUCCCCGAUCAGGUGCAAGGGACAGACCAGCCUGAGAUCUGGCAUGGAGAGGAGGUUGAUCAAUUCACUGGCUCCUGCCGGCAGGGUAUAUAAUUUUCCAUUUAUCUUAUCAACUUUUUUUGGCCUACCUCCAGCAUUGUUUUCCAGAGGAAGCAGGAGGAAAGUCCUCUGACCAAUGAGUGCUCCUCCAAAAGGGAUUUGGCAUCAUUUGUUCCUUCUUCAAUCAUCAAAGUGACAAUUUGAGCAACUUUUAACUGAGGUGGAAACCAAACCUGGUUCAGAGAAUCAUGAAAUCACAGAAGCAUGAAAGUUGGAAGACCUCCAAGAUCCCCAAGCCCAACCCCACCCCAUCCCACCACAUCCCCAAGUGCCACAUCUCCAUGGUUCUUGAACACCUCCAGGGAUGGGGACUGCACCACCUCCCUGGGCUGCCUGUGCCACUGCAUCACUGCUCUUUCAGAGAAUAAAUUUUUAUAUCUCUUAGGGUUAUGGCAAAAUUCCCUUUCUUACCUCCAAUGUGGAAUUCCAGCACAUGGGUACCAGGAUUGUGAUGCUGGUGAGAACAAUACAGGAUAAUGUGUAUGUAUGUAUGCACCAGACAACAAGUAGGAAUUAGAGAUUGUUAUGUUUAGGGAGCCAAGCACAAUAAACUUAGGAAAUAGCAGCAAUAAAUGGAUGUGUGGGUUCUGAAUUUUGUAUUUGUUUUACUUUUGUUCUUUGCUCACCAGGAAUAAAGCAACAUAAUCCUGACAGCAUGCAUGCUAUAAGCUCUGGUCUCAGUGGAGGAGAUGAGGAUGGUUUAGCCCCAGGAAAUGUGCUCUGUUUGAUGAUAUUGAACAAUAAACCAAUGCAAAAUGUAAAAGAAUGAAAAAUAGCAAGGUCUUCUCAGUACUUCCCCAGCCUCAGCUGUAAUCCUUUGGCACCUGUAGGGUGGUUUUGAACUCUUCUUUAUGGUGAUGGACUGCACUCUGCAGAUGACAUCGGAGGAAUUUACUGCAAUGAAACAUAACACCUUAAUGAGGAAAAGAACCGCUUUCCUCCUAAUGCAGCAGCUUUGUCUGGUUUUUCCCUCCACCACGCAGUGUGAUGGUUCAGAUCUAAGACUCGUGUGGUUGUUGAAUUGCCAUGAUGGAUUUUAGAAAGGGGAAAAUCAUGUCAAGUUUAUGUAAGCAGCUGCUCUUUGGAAAUACAUCUUAAUUACGGGUAAAAAUACUAAGCCAUAACUUAUAUACUUCUUUUAAAGAACACUUUUUUGUUUUGUU
Molecule: long non-coding RNA, 2944 nt
Organism: Gallus gallus (chicken)
Lineage: Eukaryota; Metazoa; Chordata; Aves; Galliformes; Phasianidae
Source: Ensembl